RNAcentral lists this unclassified non-coding RNA (281 nucleotides) under Hevea brasiliensis (rubber tree). Lineage: Eukaryota; Viridiplantae; Streptophyta; Magnoliopsida; Malpighiales; Euphorbiaceae. The record is from RNAcentral.
AUUUUCUAACAAGUUUCUUUUCCAAUGUUAUGGUGCAGCAUUAUGUGUUGCUUUAAAAACCUCCUACUCAAAUGACAUUUGUAAUGUAAAUUCAUAGCCUUUGUCAGAUGAUAUGACAACUCACUGAACUUGAAAUGCUCUUGAAAUCACCAAUUCAAAUGAUGCUUUUAGUAUUCCAUUGCUGCCCAUGUUAGAUGAUGUGAUAACUCAUUGAAAUUCCAUUUUGACUAGCGAUUUAUUGAGCAUCUCUGCUCCUGCGACACUCAUUGAACUUCAAGGCA